AACGAACGCUGGCGGCAUGCCUAACACAUGCAAGUCGAACGAGACCUUCGGGUCUAGUGGCGCACGGGUGCGUACCGCGUGGGAACCUGCCCUUAGGUUCGGAAUAACUCCCCGAAAGGGGUGCUAAUAUCGGAUAAUGUCUUCGGACCACAGAUUUAUCGCCUUUGGAUGGGCCCGCGUUGGAUUAGCUAGUUGGUAGGGUAAAAGCCUACCACGGCGACGAUCCAUAGCUGGUCAGAGAGGAUGAGCAGCGACACUGGGACUGAGACACGGCCCAGACUCCUACGGGAGGCAGCAGUGGGUGAUAUUGGACAAUGGGCGGAAGCCUGAUCCAGCAAUGCCGCGUGAGUGAUGAAGGCCUUAGGGUUGUAAAGCUCGUUUACCCGUGAUGAUAAUGACAGUACCGUAAGAAUAAGCUCCGGCUAACUCCGUG
This 433-nucleotide ribosomal RNA is filed under the name uncultured bacterium. RNAcentral describes it as "partial 16S ribosomal RNA". It matches the Rfam family "Bacterial small subunit ribosomal RNA", at positions 29 to 507 of the family's 1533-position model. The record is from RNAcentral.